Molecule: long non-coding RNA, 2200 nt
Filed under: Sarcophilus harrisii (Tasmanian devil)
Lineage: Eukaryota; Metazoa; Chordata; Mammalia; Dasyuromorphia; Dasyuridae
Description: lncRNA (ENSSHAG00000028900.1)
Source: RNAcentral
CCUUCCUUCCUUCCUUCCUUCCUUCCUUCCUUCCUUCCUUCCUUCUUUCCUUCCUUCCUUUUUUCCUUCCCAUAAGAGUUGGUGAAUUCAUAUUAUAAGCCUGGGGAAAGGGAGUAUGGGUAGUAGGCAUUUCUUUUAUUUUAAAAAUUUCCUUGGCAUUCAGCCCUAUACCCCCAAAGGAAGGAAUACAGCUUUCCCUCAUCACCCUUACCAUUCAGCUCUCAGGACCCAGGACUCAGGCUGGUAUUCUGAGUAGUAUAUUUCAGGUAUGUUGUUUGAAUUGAACAGAAUGCUGUGGGCUGGCUGAGAAACAUAACACAUGGAGAUAACUUUGUUUCUGUGAGAAAAUGUGGCCUUGAAUUUCAAAAGACCAUCUUAAAAAGAUAUAUUUGGAACUCAACCUGUUAGAGAGUUAAAAAUACCUACAGUUGGGUUCAAAUUAAUUGGAUUUUUCUGUGUAAAUACUCACAGGGGCUAAAAUGUUCCAAGAGGGGAGGAAUUAGUAUUACAAUGGGCAUGGCGUUCCCUGCUCACCACCUGUUGCUCUUGGAUAUCUUGGAACCCAUGCUGCUGGCAGUGGGCAGACUCUCUGGCCCAGGCUGCUCAGAAUUUGUCCCUGCUGCCUGAUUGCUCACAUAGCUUGGAGUCACCAAUUCUUUCUUCUAAUGAGAUGAAGCCCUCCAGGAUUUACUAUCUGCUCUGCCUCCAUACCCUGAAGCCCUCUGGUACCUGUGACAGGCCUUAGCAUCAGCCCUGUAGCUGACCUUCUAUUAUUUAUUAUCUCCCCAGAAUAAAAUACAAGCUUCUUGAGAGCAGUUAUUGUCUCUUUCUAUUUGUACCCCCAGCAUUUAGUGUAAUGCUUGGUCCAUAGUAAGUGCUUAAUAAACUCCGUGUGUGUGUGUUUAAUUCAUUCAUAGAUAUGUUCUCUCAAUUCUGCUGUGGAGAUAAAGCUAGAGGAACAAAGUUAGAUAAAAUUAGAGGAAAAACAUGUGAAAAUGCUGAUUGGAGUCAAUCUUUGUUGGUGCAACUUGAGAUACCUGUGAAGAUUCAAACAUGUUAAUCAGUAAGGAACUUUAAGAUAUUAUAAACGUGAAUUGAUUUUAAUAACUGGAUGUGCUAACUCUUCUCCCCCUUUCUCUCCCAAGAUAUUACAGAAACAAAGCAUGGUUGGAAGCCAUUUAGUUCAAGCCCCAUCCCUAUCCAAAGGAGGAAACUUGAGGAUCAGGGAGUAGAAGCACUUUUAAAGUCAUACAGUCAUAGGGAAAGAUUUAAGACACCUUUGCUGGCCCCUAAUCAUUUACCAGCUAUAUGACUAUUUACUUCUCUAGACCUAUUUCCUCAUUUGGAAAAAGGAAUUAAGAGCUCUUGCAGUACCCACUUCAAUGGGAUGUGAAAAAUGGUUUAUAAGCCUGUAAGUAAGCCUUUUGGAGAUAGGAAGAAUUCUUAUUGCUGGGACUUUAUCAGUGGAUAGAGUGCUGGACUUGGCAUCUGGAAUACCCGACUUCAAUUCUGGCUUCAGAAACUUACCAUUUGGAAGAAUCCUGGGUAUCACUUGACCUUUCUCUGACUCAAUUAACUCAUCUGUUAAAUGGGAUUAGCAAUAGCAUAGACUUUCCAGAGUUGUUGUAAGCACAAAAUGAAAAAUUUGUAAAAAUACUUUACAAAUCUUUGAGUACCAUAUAAAUGUUAGCUAUUUAUUUUUCUUAAAUAUAUUAUUUUUCUUAAUUUUUAAAAAUCAAAGCCCUGGUUCUAAAAAAAAAAAAAAAAAGCCAUUGUGUACAGGAUUACUGGGUCUGUCUGCUAUUUUGCUGAGCCUUCCUGGUUCUACUGCAUUAUGGGAAAGGCCUUGUCAACCUCCCCUGUGGGUCUCAGGCUUGACAUGAGCAGCUGCUCCUGGAUUUAUCCCACAGAAUGGCCAUUAUGGUUGAUGAAAAUGCUCAGUCUCAAAGCCUUGGGGAGGAAGAAUAGCCCUGGUAAGUCGAGCCUUAAUUAAUGCCAGCGGGAUAGAACUGGGUCCAAGCAGCUCCUGCAAACAGCAAAUGUCUCUAAUGAUGCUCUUAGGAAACCAGGGCUGGGGAUGGAGCCUGCCCUAGAGACAGGGGCUGAGCGUCUCCACGCCUGCCAAGUUGCUUGAAGGAGUUAUAAAUCCACCGAGCACAGAAAACUGGCCUAGAAGGAAAGUCUUAACUGUUCCCCUGAG